UACGUAGGGGGCAAGCGUUAUCCGGAUUUACUGGGCGUAAAGCGCCCGUAGGCGGCUUUUUAAGUUGGACGUGAAAGCUCCCGGCUUAACUGGGAGAGGCCGUUCAAAACUGAGAGGCUAGAGUGAGGAAGAGGAGAGCGGAAUUCCCGGUGUAGUGGUGGAAUGCGUAGAUAUCGGGAGGAACACCAGUGGCGAAAGCGGCUCUCUGGUCCUAAACUGACGCUGAGGGGCGAAAGCGUGGGGAGCGAACGGG
RNAcentral lists this ribosomal RNA (253 nucleotides) under uncultured bacterium. RNAcentral describes it as "partial 16S ribosomal RNA". It matches the Rfam family "Bacterial small subunit ribosomal RNA", at positions 524 to 776 of the family's 1533-position model. The record is from RNAcentral.